Eptesicus fuscus (big brown bat) is the source of this 551-nucleotide long non-coding RNA. RefSeq lists it as uncharacterized. Lineage: Eukaryota; Metazoa; Chordata; Mammalia; Chiroptera; Vespertilionidae. The record is from RefSeq and is a predicted model, not a curated record. The transcript is spliced from 3 exons.
CCCGCGCAGACCCGGAGCGCGCGGGGCGCGGGAGGGGCGCGUCCCUGAACUUGGCCGCCGCAGUGCAUUCUGGGCCUCCACCCGCCGGCCGAGCCGGGAGGCACGUGGCGGCGGCGAGUCUCCGGGCAGGGCGGGUGGCCCGUGCCGCCGAAGCAGGCGCUCCGCCGGGCCCUCCGCGGCCCUCGGGCCUCCCCGAGCCCGGACAGUGGCUCACUUCUCCAAUCUCCCACAAGACUCACUGCUGUUCUGCCAAGUCUGUCCUUCCCGGCUUUAUCCCAGCGCCGUCCAGGGUGGCCAGGAAAUGAGGUGGCAGCUGAGCAGCUGAGCAGAUGGGUGACCACUGAAGAAUAUUACAAAGGGGGAUUGAAAUAUCAGAAAUUGAGAAGCUUGCCCUGACCAGGUAGCUCAGUUGGUUAGAGCGACAUCCUGAUACACCAAGGUUGUGGGUUCAAUCCCUGGUCAAGGCACAUACAAGAAACAACCAAUGAAUGCAUAAAUAAGUGGAACAACAAAGCAAUGUUUCUCCCUUCCUCUCUCUCUGUUUCUCAAUC